GAGAAUGCAUCAAGAACUGCUAAUUCAUGAACCCAUAUAUAACAAUAUGGCUUUCU
RNAcentral lists this transfer RNA (56 nucleotides) under Didelphis marsupialis (southern opossum). Its description in RNAcentral is "tRNA-Ser". Lineage: Eukaryota; Metazoa; Chordata; Mammalia; Didelphimorphia; Didelphidae. RNAcentral also lists the same sequence under 1 other name. The record is from RNAcentral.